AAUUGGCGUUAACAAUGAACAACACGCUGGUUUCUGCUGGCAAUGUAAAGCGGUACAGGUCUUCGAAUGUUAUUUGGGUGUCGGGUUCUUCUUCGGCCUCCUUAAGGGACGGAAGUUGAUUCUGGUGUCUAACUGCUGUGGAAUGCCGUCGAUAGUGCUUGUCUCCUAUCCUAUUUCCUGUCUGUCCGACUGGUAAUGGUAUGUAAAAAAUAAAAUGUUGCUAGCUGACAUCUAUAGGAGUGCAAGGUCUUAAUCUAAAGCUGAAAGUACGUCCGCAUUGCUGGCGCCAAAUUAAACACACAAAAAUAAGAUGUCAUCCGUGUACCACCAAUUUAUUAAACAAUUUUUUUAAACCUUUAUUUUUGAAGUUUGCUGUAUUAUAGUAGCGUAUUAGUUAUGGAAAAGAGAAAUUGGUAGAAGAUUCCUGGAACGUUGUUGGCUGAUCCACGCCCUACUGUUAGCGCCUGGCUGGUGAAAUUUCCUUUGUUGGGGACAGCGGAGGCGAAGCGGAAACUCCACAAUCUUUUUUCUUAGUUUUUCUUUUGGGUCUUUUCAGUAGCUUUGCUUUCCAAAUCCAAAAAUGAAGCCCAAACUGGAGAGCUAUAGCUUUUGUUGACCUUCACAAUGAACUUGGUCAUCCAGCCGUCACCAGCAAAAACACAUGUCGGCAGUCAUAGUUGCCAACCUGAAACUGGUCAGCUGGUUCAAAGACAUACAAUACGUAAAGAUACAGUAUUUAAAUUGCAUCUUUUGGAUGUCAGAUGUCCCUGCAAAUGUCGCUGGAGUCAUACAAGCCGCUAACAGAUGGCGCUGUAGUGCAACUAUUUGGCGCACACCUCAGCAUAUAAUCUUUACUGCCAUAUGCCAAGGGUUUCAGCAAGACAAUGACACACGCAUUGUUGUUUGGUUUGAAGAUAAGGACGCAAAUGUAUUGAAAUGGCCAACAAAAUCAAAAAUUUGUGAAAUAUAGGAAAAGAAGAUUGGAUUUCAAAAACCACGAAAUAAAAAUGAAUUAAACUUAAGAUGUUUCGUACAUUAUA
Molecule: long non-coding RNA, 1040 nt
Organism: Stomoxys calcitrans (stable fly)
Lineage: Eukaryota; Metazoa; Arthropoda; Insecta; Diptera; Muscidae
Exons: 4
Source: RefSeq, a predicted model, not a curated record